This is a long non-coding RNA of Hipposideros armiger (great roundleaf bat), 973 nucleotides long. RefSeq lists it as uncharacterized. The record is from RefSeq and is a predicted model, not a curated record. The transcript has 4 exons. Lineage: Eukaryota; Metazoa; Chordata; Mammalia; Chiroptera; Hipposideridae.
AGAGGGUCUUACAGGACUCCUGCUGCAGAGGCUUGGGUUUGGGCAAAGGCCUCGCAGAUGCUGAGGAGUGCCAGAGGCCCCAGGCUAGAGGACAGGGGAGCCAGACUCGGGUCUCAUCCUUCCAGCCCAGACUGACUAAGCCAGGAUCCAUUGCAGCAGAAAUUCUCCACAUCAGGCAGGAACACAUCAGGGUCUGGAGCGGGGCCCUGGUACCCUGGUCCUCCCUCUCCCACCAAUGCCCAGCCUUCUCUGUCUGGACGACGGAUUCUCAGAGGUGCCUUCUGGUCUUGCUUUCAAACAUUCCUUCCCAGCCAUCUCUUCCUCCCCCUUCCCCGGGGCUCCAGCACCUGCAGCAGGUCUGUAGCCAUCUGUAUACUCAACAGCUGAGCUCAUAAUCCUGGUUCCAGCCCUUUCCAGCCAUGUGACCUGAAGCCACAGAGCCACCGAGCCUCAGUUUCCUUAUCUGAUAACAUCUGAUGAGGAUUAAUAAGCUAAUGCAAAAGGAGCACUCCACACAGGGCUUGCAAGGCGUGCGUGCUGAACAACAGGUCAUCAUCAUUGCUGCUAUCCUGUUAAAGAUCAUCAGACGAGGAACUGUGCCAACAAAAAAGAAAAUGAAUCUGAGGAGCCCAGACAAAGCUGCCGGGAUGCAAUGCUGACACGCAGCUAGGGAGGAAGCUACUGCCUGGACCUCUGUGGGAACUGCAUUUUUCAGAAGCCAACAGGGAAGUCCUCAGAGGCCUCCAGGGGACCAGGGACCCUGCCAUGAUGCUGUUUUUUUGGAGCCAGGUGGCAGGUAAAUCCAUCAUCGGCCUGAAUCCCCAGCUGGAGAACUGUCACCAGCCAGUGACAUGAGAGUGCCCACCUGCUCCUAAGAGCUCUUCUUAAGCAGGUCAUCCCUGAGCACACAGACCUGGCCGCGCACGUUUCUGAACUCCCAUCCCAGAUCCCUGCCACUUGCCAUACACACACA